RNAcentral lists this ribosomal RNA (253 nucleotides) under uncultured bacterium. Its description in RNAcentral is "partial 16S ribosomal RNA". It matches the Rfam family "Bacterial small subunit ribosomal RNA", at positions 524 to 776 of the family's 1533-position model. The record is from RNAcentral. RNAcentral also lists the same sequence under 1 other name.
UACAGAGGGUGCAAGCGUUAAUCGGAUUUACUGGGCGUAAAGGGCGCGUAGGCGGUUAUAUGAGUGUGAUGUGAAAGCCCUGGGCUUAACCUAGGAAGUGCAUCGCAAACGAUAUAACUGGAGUAUAUGAGAGGGUGGUGGAAUUUCCGGUGUAGCAGUGAAAUGCGUAGAUAUCGGAAGGAACAUCGAUGGCGAAGGCAGCCACCUGGCAUAAUACUGACGCUGAGGCGCGAAAGCGUGGGGAUCAAACAGG